UUGAUCCUGGCUCAGAAUCAACGCUGGCGGCGUGCCUAACACAUGCAAGUCGAACGAGAAAGUGGAGCAAUCCAUGAGUAAAGUGGCGACCGGGUGAGUUACACGUGACUAACCUACCUUCAAGUGGGGGAUAACCUCGGGAAACCGGGUCUAAUACCGCAUAAUAUCUUCGGGAUGAGAAGCCGAAGAUCAAAGGAGCUAUUCGCUGGAAGAGGGAGUCGCGGCUGAUUAGCUAGUUGGCGGGGUAAUUGCCCACCAAGGCUUUGAUCGGUAGCCGGCCUGAGAGGGCGCACGGCCACUCUGGAACUGAAACACGGUCCAGACUCCUACGGGAGGCAGCAGUGGGGAAUUUUGCGCAAUGGGGGAAACCCUGACGCAGCAACGGCGCGUGGAGGAUGAUGUCCCUUGGGACGUAAACUCCUUUCGACCCGGACGAUAAUGACGGUACGUGUGGAAGAAGCCCCGGCUAACUUCGUGCCAGCAGCCGCGGUAAUAAGGGUGU
Molecule: ribosomal RNA, 502 nt
Filed under: uncultured Acidobacteriota bacterium
Lineage: Bacteria; Pseudomonadati; Acidobacteriota
Description: bacterial SSU rRNA
Rfam family: Bacterial small subunit ribosomal RNA
Source: RNAcentral